CUAGUGCCGGUCCGACCCAUAGGUUGGGUCGUGACAAAAUGUGUUAAGCCAAAUAUUCUCUUACAAAGCUUAAACUCUUAAUAUGAAUUCACUUGAGUAAAGCAUAUAAAAAAGCUAGUUACUAAACCCUCCCAUACGCUAAGCCACACAUAUAUUUUUUAACAACUGCAACUGCAUAGUUAAGCCAUUAAAUUUGGUGGCAUUACAUUUAUCAAACAGUAAUUAGUCAAGGGAUUCCAAUUAUAGGAAAGAAGGGAGUAUAAAAGCUAGAAGGUGCUAAGCCCCACUCCCUUGGGACAGGCAGAUCAAUUGUCUUGGAGGAACCUAUGUUUUUUAGCUUCCCAACAGGGGAUGUAGUGGAAAAGACAAGAGGAGUGGAGAUAGUGUAUGAGCUAGAAUCUUGGAUUUUCACAAUCUUGGACACCAUGU
This 429-nucleotide unclassified non-coding RNA is filed under the name Hevea brasiliensis (rubber tree). The record is from RNAcentral. Lineage: Eukaryota; Viridiplantae; Streptophyta; Magnoliopsida; Malpighiales; Euphorbiaceae.